Molecule: long non-coding RNA, 1697 nt
Organism: Ictalurus furcatus (blue catfish)
Lineage: Eukaryota; Metazoa; Chordata; Actinopteri; Siluriformes; Ictaluridae
Exons: 6
Source: RefSeq, a predicted model, not a curated record
UGAAAAUAUGAUAUAUGAAUCGGCUAUAUACCCCAAUAAAACUGUUAUAAGAAUAAAAGGUUAAUAUAGUUAACUAAUAAUGGCGUUUUUGUUCUAUACUCUUUAUAUUAGGUUUAUCAAAAUUGUUUAUUCACACUGUCAGAGGUGUUCAGCCAGGAAUUCUUCAUUCUCAAAAUGCCACGGUGGUUUAAUAAACUGGACCUUGGCCUCUUGCUGGUUUUUGGCAGUGUCACCAUCGUUGCAGCUCCAUUUCUGACACCAGUCAAGCAUAAAUAUUGCUCUUCCAUAGAAGUUACAUGUGCGUUCGAUGGUAGUGGGGGAAAGUGAAGCUUCCUAAAUUUGAAAAUGGCACAGAGGUAUGACUCACGCUGGAGAAGAAAAGUCAAGAGCCAGCAAAGUACUUGCAAAAGAUGCAGAAGAAAGCUAGACACACAAGGAGUGGAGAAUGCAGACUACUUCCAGUGUCAGCACUGACUAUUUUGGUUGACUGUAUAUACAAAGAAUUGGCUGGAGAGGGCUUGGACAGCAGCACACUUAUCUGAAAGCUGAAAUGUGUAGGAAGGUGCUAUGUCCCUGUAUCCAUCCAGAAUCAAAGUGGAGGCCAGAUGACUAUUGCACUGAAGGAAUACCUUGUCUUCCUGAAUAUACUACAUUUACACCAGUUAUGUCAGUUCUGAGAUUUUGGCAGGUUUGCUUUGAUACAGCUAACAUGCUGUCUUCAUUGUCUAAAUGGCUGCAUUACAAGAAAGUGAUAAUUUUCUGAAAAUGAAAGACACUUGGAGCUGAGUGAUAUUAAUGAUAGACUCUAACUGAUUAUCAUCCUCGUUAGUAAUAAGCUGUUUUCCCAAUGUCUAUGUCCUAUUUAAUAAUAUUGUUAGAUUAUUGAUGUUGAAAUAUCCAGUGAAAAAUAUUGUUGUAUUUGCUUUUGUCUAGAUUAUGUAAACCCAAUUUUCACCAUGUAAAUAUCAAAACAUAUUUAAAAUGUAUUGGAAGUUUGUUUUUGUCAUGGACAAGCAUAUAAAAUCCAUUACAAUGAGGAACAUGUAUUUGAGUUUCUUUAUGAUUUUUUUUUUUUAAAGAAACCAUUAAGUUUGUAUGAGAAAGUGUUGGAGAUCUUUACUUGUGCUGUCUGAGCUCACCAUGAGAUGCACGAAUUAGACUGGGAUGAGAAUAUAUUGAGAUUAUAGAGAGAGCUCUCUGGUUUCUCUGCCUGAGAUCAAAAAGACGCACCAAACUUGAGACAAUCUGAGAAUUAUUUGAGAGCUUGAUGAGAUCUAUUUUGAAACUUAAAAGGAGGCUACUUUGAGAUUUUGUGAUGCUUUUUCCCCACGAGAAAAAACUGAGAAACAGGAGAAAUAAGCCAUAAUCUCAUUUUGGUUUCACACAGAUCUCAUUGUUGUCUAGGAGAAUACAUGAGAUGUUUUUGACAGCUCUUUUCUAAUUUUCUUUUCCUCUGGGGGCCUGAGUCCAGUUCAGAUUCAAUUUUGGAAUUUCAUUCCUCUCCCUCGCUUGACAGACUCCAAACUACUCUAAUGAUCUUGUAUAUACUGAGAAUUCCAUUGGGUUUGAUGUCUGAUUAAUAGUUUUCUUUGAUUAGCAAUACAUGGGUACAUCUGGCUGUUACAGUAUUGAAUGUCAUUUUCAGCUUCACUUUGUCUGCAUUUACUAUAAUUCAUGCAUGUUUAUUAAAAAUAUUC